This 298-nucleotide long non-coding RNA is filed under the name Jatropha curcas. RNAcentral's name for it is "long non-coding RNA (JCUR_LNC002443)". The record is from RNAcentral. Lineage: Eukaryota; Viridiplantae; Streptophyta; Magnoliopsida; Malpighiales; Euphorbiaceae.
UCUGUUUUCUUCCUCUUCUCCCUCCUCUUCACCCUCUCGUUCCUUUCUUCUCUGCUCUCUCUAUGGAAAUUUUGCAAACUUGGGUUAGCUUUGCUUGUAUAAAUACAAGCUCUUUGAAGCAUAAAAAUGGUUUGUUUAUAGCCAUCAUCUUCAAGAACAAAACGUUCAUCGUUUCCAGGUGAUAGAGUGGAGUUGAUUUGGGUUCUUCAUCCAUUGCUGUGGAUGAACUAUAAUGAGAAAGAAGGAUUAAGAAACUGAGAGAGAAGAGAGGAUUAAUGUUUUACUGAGUAGCUAUAAG